This 576-nucleotide ribosomal RNA is filed under the name uncultured bacterium. RNAcentral's name for it is "bacterial SSU rRNA". It matches the Rfam family "Bacterial small subunit ribosomal RNA", at positions 102 to 674 of the family's 1533-position model. The record is from RNAcentral.
ACGGGUGAGUAAUACAUCGGAACGUAUCCUGGAGUGGGGGAUAGCCCGGCGAAAGCCGGAUUAAUACCGCAUACGCUCUGAGGAGGAAAGCGGGGGACCUUCGGGCCUCGCGCUCAAGGGGCGGCCGAUGGCGGAUUAGGUAGUUGGUGGGGUAAAGGCCUACCAAGCCGACGAUCCGUAGCUGGUCUGAGAGGACGACCAGCCACACUGGGACUGAGACACGGCCCAGACUCCUACGGGAGGCAGCAGUGGGGAAUUUUGGACAAUGGGGGCAACCCUGAUCCAGCAAUGCCGCGUGUGUGAAGAAGGCCUUCGGGUUGUAAAGCACUUUUGUCCGGAAAGAAAUCAUCGGGGCCAAUACCCCUGGUGGAUGACGGUACCGGAAGAAUAAGCACCGGCUAACUACGUGCCAGCAGCCGCGGUAAUACGUAGGGUGCGAGCGUUAAUCGGAAUUACUGGGCGUAAAGCAUGCGCAGGCGGUGCUGUAAGACCGAUGUGAAAUCCCCGGGCUUAACCUGGGAACUGCAUUGGUGACUGCAGCGCUGGAGUAUGGCAGAGGGGGGUGGAAUUCCACGU